Molecule: ribosomal RNA, 1011 nt
Filed under: Natronomonas sp. WN52
Lineage: Archaea; Methanobacteriati; Methanobacteriota; Halobacteria; Halobacteriales; Natronomonadaceae
Description: bacterial SSU rRNA
Rfam family: Archaeal small subunit ribosomal RNA
Source: RNAcentral
CCUCGCUUUUGUAGACCGUAAGGGAGUCUACGAAUAAGGGCUGGGCAAGACCGGUGCCAGCCGCCGCGGUAACACCGGCAGCCCAAGUGAUGGCCGAUAUUAUUGGGCCUAAAGCGUCCGUAGCUGGCCGCGCAAGUUCGUCGGGAAAUCCACUCGCUUAACGAGUGGGCGUCCGGCGAAAACUGUGCGGCUCUGGGACCGGAAGAUCCAAGGGGUACGUCCGGGGUAGGAGUGAAAUCCUGUAAUCCUGGACGGACCACCGAUGGCGAAAGCACCUUGGAAGGACGGAUCCGACAGUGAGGGACGAAAGCUAGGGUCUCGAACCGGAUUAGAUACCCGGGUAGUCCUAGCCGUAAACGAUGCUCGCUAGGUGGUGGCGCAGGCUACGAGCCUGCGCUGUGCCGUAGGGAAGCCGUGAAGCGACCCGCCUGGGAAGUACGUCUGCAAGGAUGAAACUUAAAGGAAUUGGCGGGGGAGCACUACAACCGGAGGAGCCUGCGGUUUAAUUGGACUCAACGCCGGACAUCUCACCAGCUCCGACAGCAGUAAUGACAGUCAGGAUGAUGACCUUACUCGACGCUGCUGAGAGGAGGUGCAUGGCCGCCGUCAGCUCGUACCGUGAGGCGUCCUGUUAAGUCAGGCAACGAGCGAGACCCGCACCUCUAGUUGCCAGCAGCAUCUCGCGAUGGCUGGGUACACUAGGGGGACUGCCGUCGCCAAGACGGAGGAAGGAACGGGCAACGGUAGGUCAGUAUGCCCCGAAUGAGCUGGGCGACACGCGGGCUACAAUGGUCGAGACAGUGGGAUGCGACACCGAGAGGUGAAGCUAAUCUCCUAAACUCGAUCGUAGUUCGGAUUGCGGCCUGAAACCCGCCCGCAUGAAGCUGGAUUCGGUAGUAAUCGCGUGUCAGAAGCGCGCGGUGAAUACGUCCCUGCUCCUUGCACACACCGCCCGUCAAAGCACCCGAGUGGGGUCCGGAUGAGGCCUGGUCACCAGGUCGAAUCUGUCCC